AUUAAUGAAAUCACAUGCCUUUGAUCUUUAACUACCCAUCUGAGAUCCCAAACUUAAAUCAAUCAGCAGAAAUUAGAACAUUUAAUAAUCUGGGUUUCAAAGAAUUAUGAAUAUCCCAACAGAAUCAUCAAUUAAUUGCAAUAAGAGUACCUGUUCAGCAUAAAUGGCUUAUUAGUCGUGUCGCCGACAGCCAAAAAUUAGGAUUUUGAUUCAAGAAAUUUCUAAAUCGACGCUAAAUAAAAACGUAAUAAUCCACUUAGAGACAAAAUCAAAUGAACAAACAUCAGUUCUGCGAAUAUUGAAAUUAGAAACUAAUUGGACUCUAGAAUUACAGGUCAGAAAACAGGAUGCAUAGUAAUUUCCCCCAUUUCCUCCGUACACCUUAUUAGCCAACUUUGGUGUCAAAUCAAUCUCCAUCCCUCUCUGUAUUUUUUGCUUUUAUCUCUCUUCUUUUCUCUCUCUCUAAUCCUGCGCAAGAAAAACCCCAAUAUCACAAAAAUUUUAUUCCGAAUCAAGAAAAAAACAGCAAAGUAUGUUAAUUUGUUAGAGAUUUAGAAAAAAAAGGGAUGAUUUCUGCCACCUGCGAGUACAAAGCAACUGUUUUCCAGUGUAGGUGGGGUAUAGGCACAUGAGAAAGAGGCCAUGGACGGAUCGUGUCGGGAUAAGCCAGGGAUGCGCCCUCAAGCUAUCGAGGUUCAUCAAUAUUUGCUACUCUAUUCGUCUCUCUCU
RNAcentral lists this long non-coding RNA (729 nucleotides) under Panax ginseng (ginseng). RNAcentral describes it as "long non-coding RNA (PGIN_LNC014599)". Lineage: Eukaryota; Viridiplantae; Streptophyta; Magnoliopsida; Apiales; Araliaceae. The record is from RNAcentral.